This 524-nucleotide ribosomal RNA is filed under the name Bos indicus (zebu cattle). RNAcentral describes it as "partial 16S ribosomal RNA". It matches the Rfam family "Bacterial large subunit ribosomal RNA", at positions 1921 to 2621 of the family's 2925-position model. The record is from RNAcentral. Lineage: Eukaryota; Metazoa; Chordata; Mammalia; Artiodactyla; Bovidae.
UGUUUAACGGCCGCGGUAUCCUGACCGUGCAAAGGUAGCAUAAUCAUUUGUUCUCUAAAUAAGGACUUGUAUGAAUGGCCGCACGAGGGUUUUACUGUCUCUUACUUCCAAUCAGUGAAAUUGACCUUCCCGUGAAGAGGCGGGAAUGCACAAAUAAGACGAGAAGACCCUAUGGAGCUUUAACUAACCAACCCAAAGAGAAUAAAUUUAACCAUUAAGGAGUAACAACAAUCUCCAUGAGUUGGUAGUUUCGGUUGGGGUGACCUCGGAGAAUAAAAAACCCUCCGAGCGAUUUUAAAGACUAGACCCACAAGUCAAAUCACUCUAUCGCUCAUUGAUCCAAAAACUUGAUCAACGGAACAAGUUACCCUAGGGAUAACAGCGCAAUCCUAUUCAAGAGUCCAUAUCGACAAUAGGGUUUACGACCUCGAUGUUGGAUCAGGACAUCCUGAUGGUGCAACCGCUAUCAAAGGUUCGUUUGUUCAACGAUUAAAGUCCUACGUGAUCUGAGUUCAAAACCGGAG